UACGUAGGGUGCAAGCGUUAUCCGGAAUUAUUGGGCGUAAAGAGCUCGUAGGCGAUUUGUCGCGUCUGCUGUGAAAACUGGAGGCUCAACCUCCAGCCUGCAGUGGGUACGGGCAAACUAGAGUGCGGUAGGGGAGAUUGGAAUUCCUGGUGUAGCGGUGGAAUGCGCAGAUAUCGGGAGGAACACCGGUGGCGAAGGCGGUUCUCUGGGCCUUACCUGACGCUGAGGAGCGAAAGCGUGGGGAGCGAACAGG
This 253-nucleotide ribosomal RNA is filed under the name uncultured bacterium. RNAcentral describes it as "partial 16S ribosomal RNA". It matches the Rfam family "Bacterial small subunit ribosomal RNA", at positions 524 to 776 of the family's 1533-position model. The record is from RNAcentral.